AGAAUCACCUGCCUCUUCCUCCCGAGUUCUGGAACUCAUGUGAGGCAUGUGUCGCCAUUGCUUGGUUAUGAAAUGAUAUUUUUGUUAUAGGUUGAUACUUGAUUGUUUUCACAAAUGUCCAAAAUUGUUAUUUUAUGAGUGCAUUUUAAAAUUGUGUAAACUAAUUAGCCCAUGAAGCAUUUUAAACCUCUGGCUACGUCCACCGAGAUGUUCUUCUCCCCAAGUGUGAGGUAGAGGUUUGCGUCCUAGCCCACUGACGCCAGAUAUACAAAAACAGUUCUGGCUCCCGAAGGUUUGUGCCAGCAGCACUAAAUACAAGGCACUUGUCCCCGUAACUACUUUGCGUGACUGCUUGUGACUCUUUAAUCAAUUGCCAACAGACUUGAUUGCUAUAAGUGGAUCUUUUGAAAAACAAAUUCUUGCUUUUUAAAGACGGAUAUUGAUGAAUAUACAUGAAGAUGUAAAGUUUGUAGUUGAGAAAAAUUUAAAAAUUAAAACCCGAGAAACCCCAAAAGAUGACACACUCUGAUUAGCUAUGUAUUAAAACAAACAAACUAACAAACAUGUAUUAAAGAGCUAAGAAAUGACAGGCAUAGGAUGCAAAGCUUUGACCUUCACUCUCAGCCUACUGUUCAUACAUUCACCUUCCUUUGCUUGGAUAAGGAAUGCCUAUUAACAUGUCUCAAAUCUAACAUUCUCAGAUUCCAGUUGACUACUUCUAGAUUUCCUAUUUUUCUGCUACUAAAAAAUGACUCACAUGACUUAACGAUACUGACUUUUCCUCCCUCUCUUCCUUAUUGCUUUAUUCUAUUCAGCAGAAACUCUGCCCAGAGCUAAAAGGAACAAGGAGAGCACAUGACCCUGCACUUUAAACAAGUAAGAAUUAAAUAUUUAUUUAACACCAGCUACAUACUAAAGCACUUUCCAUACAAUAUUCCAAAUAUUCUUCACAAUUAUGCAAAUCAAACAAAUUUUCUUACAUUUAAAGAGGAUCAUGGAAACAGAGGGCAAAACAUUGGUAUUCUCUUUCACACAUCCAGGGUAGGUAGGUACAAGACUCAUCCAUGUGUAUCCUUUCAGAUUACUCAUUCCUCUCCAAUGUGGUAGGACUGCUUGAAUCUUACAUGAGGCCAAUUACAUGUAAUAUCAGCCAGAUACUAGGAACAUUGGCUCUCUUGGAAGGGGACACCUGGCUCCACAGAGAGAAGAGGUUUGGGCUCUAAUAUGGAAAGAUGCCUGGGCUGAACUGAUGGACAAUGACUGAGAUCCACUAGGGGAAAAUGUCUGGGUUCCACUGGGGAGGAUGCCUGGGCUACAGUAGGGGAGGAUGCUUGAGCUACAGUGAGGGAAGAUGCCUAGGUUGCAUUGGGAGGUGAUACCUGAGAGUCAUUGGAAUAUAUGCCUAGACUUCAUUGAGUGAAGAUGUCUGGGUUCCACUAGGAGAAAUACCUGGCUCCAUUAGGUUCUGUUGGGAAGAUAUGUUUGAGAUCCACUGGGGAAGAUGCCUGGACUCUACUGGAAAAAAGAUGCUUGUCAUCCUCUGGGAGAUAACAUGAUUAUUUUGAAAAAUAAAUGCAUACUGUGUCAGCUGCAAAAAGCCCUUCAUAACUCUGUAACAGUAGCUAUGCCUGUGUACAGUGUUGGACUUGACACUUGCUCAAUUUGUUAGAUUAAUGGGCUCAUUCAAAUACCAUUGGCCAUAAACAGUGGGGGACGGAUAUGCUAAGCUCAUAGGGGUUUACAGGGGACUUUUCUUAUCAUCAAAGUGUCAUCACUGAUGCUUGUUAGUAAGAUCGGAAGCCUUAUGCUCAAGGACCUUUGGUUCUCUGAGGAAGCCAGUCUGUGAAACCAAGGUGCCAUUAUGGCCAAUCACUGUCUUAUCCAGCAACAUAAACUGGAAAUUGUUUCCCAUGUGCUGUUCAUGACAACUUAUGGUUGGUCACCUGUCUCUGUUUUAUUGCCUAUUAAUCUUUAAUAUUAUACUAACUGGCAGCAUAAAGCCACCAUUUGGAAGCCCCAGGAUGUUAAAGAACAGUAGCCCCAUAGACCCUGCCAAUUCCAAUUUCUUUAAUGUUUAGGAUCAUUAAGUGGAAGAAAGACACCACUUCAAAGUCAUUAUACUUCCAAUAUUCAGACCAAGCAGCAGUCGUUCUUGACUGGUGUGGUUCAAUUCUUCAAAAAGACACAGUUCUGUUCUUGAAGGGCUAGGCUUGACAAACUAUCAUUACAGUUUUCAAAAUGGCAACGUGAACAUGCUAUGUACAAAUGACAUUCCUUUUUUAUUAGUCUACAGGUUUAUGUCUUUAACCAGUGCUAGUAUGUUUUGGGUUUUGUGUUAGUCACCGAGGAGGAAUAUGAGAGAAUCAUGGGCCAUCUUAAUCAAGAGAACGAGCAGUCUACGUGUAUUCACAAGAACCACCACAAAACUAUCAACUAAAUUAAAGGAAAUCAGACUUUCAGGAGUCAGCCUGAGGGUGGACCCAGCGGCACAGCAGAUUCACUCUUAUCACAAGAAUCAGUGGCAGAGAUAUGGACAAGAAUGACACAGACAGUCCUGUGUAGCUCCUCAUUGCUAUUGGAAGGUGAAAUGGCUCAGAUACGAGCAUUGAAACAGAGAGAAGCUAAAUCAUUUUCAUAAUGGACAUUUCCAUGAAGAGAUAAAGCUGAGAUCUGAACCCAACUAUUUGGACUCCAAGUUUCUGACUCUCAGAUGUACAUUCCUGGACAAAGCAGAAUCUUUUAGUAUACUAGCUUUCUGCUAGAAUGGAAAUAAUUAUGUUGUAUUGGCAUAUAUCUAAGAUAAAUAAGUAGUAUUUUCUUCUCUUACUGUAGAUUAUGGAAUUGGAACUGAGAUAUAAAAGUAUCCAGAAAUUAUGAAGGACAUAAAGAGCAGGGUUAAGAUUUCAGCCAAACUUGGUUCUACCACCUUAUAUGAGUUUGCUUUUGGUUACUGUGAUCCAAGUAACUGAGAGAGAAAGAGAUAUUUGACUCAUAGCUUCAUAAGCAUCAGCCCAUAUUUGUUUGGUUCUGUGUGCUUGAACAGGAUAUUGUGGCAAACAAGGAAUGGAACUGUUUAGUUUGUGAUCAAUCAGGAAGAAGUAUGAUGGGGGACAGCCAAAGAUAAGAGAACCCUCUUUCUUUGAGAAAAUGAGUCACUUUCUUCAAUUCCUUUUGUCUCCUAAGUUUCCAUCAUCCUAUAAAGUACUAUCUAAUCAUGAGCCUUUGGUGUAGAGCAUUUCAUAUUCAAAUUGUAGCUCCAGUUUCUGCCUCCCCAACAUAGUACUUUUAUUGAUUAUUUGGGAAUUUAACACAAUUCUCCCAGAUUACAUUCACUUCCCAGUCUUACUAAUCCCCUCCCCUGAUCCUUUUGGCCUCCCCUCCUCCAAAAAACAAAAUAGGAAAUCAAAUCCAAUUUGUGUUGUUCAUAUAUUCACUGGAGCAUGGUCAAACACAUGGUGGCCAGCUUAAAAAAAUGUAUCUUUCCCCUAAUCCCUAACUUCACCAGAAGCCAUCAAUGGUGAAGAGCUACACUCCAGCAUCUCUCUAACAACUUUUAAUAUUUCAGUGGCUUUCUGUCUAGACUGUUUCUUUUGUGGGGGUUGCAGGUGGGGAGGGAAAAGUCACAUGUCAUUCUCAAUAGCUCGUCCACCAGAUGGUUGCUAAGAUAAUGACAGUCAAGAGAGUCGGAAGGUGACAGAAGAAGCAGCAGAGGAAGCAGAAGCAGAGGAGGAGGACAAGGGGGAGGACAAAGGGGUAAGGACAGGGAAGGAGGAGGGAGAAGAGGAGAGAGAAUGCAAGAUUUGCUUUCCUGAGGCCUUCCUCCUCUUUGGGACUUGGAUUAAUAGAAUAAUGUAGAAUUUAAAGACAGUCUGCUCUGCAUGAACACCCUGGAGCAAAUUCCCUUAUCCUUAUUACUCAUACUGUCUACAUGUCACUUCGCAUUUAUAUAGUGGUCCAUUGGUAACAUUGUCUGAUCAGAAGCCGGAUCCAUUUCCCUGUUUAAACACGAAGUUGCCCACAAUAUGGAAAUGUUGUAGAAAAUGACCUGUACUGAAUAGGAUUUUGUUUUUACAGGAAAAUUAUAACUCGUACUUGCAGGUUUUAAAUUUAAGACUUUUUUCUCCUUUCAUAUAAAUGGAAAUAAUAUUGAACUAUUGUUAAAUGCUCCAAAGGGCAUGAGAGUAGAGAAAUGAGUAAAGAGGGGGAGGUGCAGGCUGACAUUUAUGCUGACUCAGCUUAGAGCUGCAAGAUGAAAGGAAGGAGUCUAAGCUGUCUCGCAGGAUUCCAUACCAAUCAUGUUAAUUGGAAACUGGAAGGAAGAAGUGGUCACAAUCAACAGAUUUAUCACCCAAAGGGCAGAGCAGUUCAUAAAUUUAAUCCAGCAAAAGAAUUAGGAAAUAGAAUUGAUGCUUAUAAGAAUCAGGGCAGGGGUGGUGAGACCUCUCCAAAUAACCUUUCCCAGGCAGACGGCUGGAAGUGCUUGAAUGUAUUUUAUUCGAAGCUAUUAGAAAUAUGAAAAGAGGCCUCUCUCUCCCAGCCCCUGGCUGAAGCAUUGUAACUUCUUUUUUAUAGUCUUUAUAAAAGAAGAGCAAUAAAGAGACACAAACAGGGUAGUAAAGUUUAAUGGUGAUAAAAUCCAGACACCUGAAUAUAUGUAAUUUAUUUUUCCCAAGACCUCACCCCAUUGAGGUUGCUAUUAAUUAGCAUGGAAAUGUGUUACAGAGCCAAUUUUGCAUGAGGUUUGUUAUCUUGGGUACUUUAUGAAAAGGAAAAAACAAAACAACCAGAAAAAACGUUUGUCACUUCAUUGCAGCGAGGUGGAGGAAAGUCACCAAAAACAGCCUGGGGGCUCCAUGUGCAAAAAUGAGAUGCCAUCUCUCCAGAGUCCCAUCAGAAGCUCCUUCCACCAGAGGAAGGCGUCCCUGUAACAAAGAAAUGCAAUCCAUCCCGUGUUGGCUAGUAUUAGUUGUUCACUCCAUAUAAUCCAGAAUCACCUGGGAAGGGAGUUUCAGCAUGGGACUGUCAAGAUCAGAUUGGCCAGUGAGGAUGUCUAUGGAGUUGUCUUGAUUAUCCUAAUUGAUGUAGGAAGAGCCAGUUCACCGUGAGCCACCCCAGUCCCUGAGUAUGGGUCCCGUACUACACAACAAUGGGGAGACUGAGCUAAACAGCAAACAUGCAUUUGCUUUUUCUGCUGUGGCUAUGGGUCUACUGUGAUUAGCUUUUUAAGUUUCUGCUGCCUUGACUCCACCACUGUGAUAGACAGUAAUCUAGAAGUGUGAGCUAAAAGAAACUCUAUCUUUCUUAAAUUUCUGUUGUUUGGGGAGAAUUUUAUCGCAGCAACAGGAAUGAGAUGAAGAUACCUCCUGAGUUCCACCAAGAGCAUCUUUCAACUGUGAGGGAGGCAGCAAUCAUGUGAGGAAACCCAAUAUCUGAGGUCCUACCACCAUGAUAACGAAUGGAUCUGAGAACCAGAAGGCUUUACACAAAGCCUUCUAUAAUUAGUAUAUGGAAAACUAGUUGGCAAAGAAAAAUGUUGGGCUCUUUCUCCUUUUCCCUUACGAAACAACCCCAAACCAGUCCCAGGUGUCACUGCUGGAGCAGAACUACAGAGUGUGAAUGUGACCCAUGGUCCAUUAGAACAUUACACACACAUUUAAUAUGCCAAUGAAACCUGUGAGACCUAAGGUUCCAGGUAAAGGACAUACAGGAGAAAUCUGAGCUACUAGACAACUGUCCAAAUUUUAAUUCUCUGUUGACACUUGAGCUAUAUAGAACUAGCUUUUCUUAAGUUUGCUUCCUCUCUUGGAAAUUUGUGAUCUUUUAAUAAACUACCUCUGCUCAUUUGGCAAUUUUGUCUCUGCUCAGUUCUUCAUUGGUGAAUCUUAGAAUCUAGACCCUGGCAUUGCUGUCAGCCUCUCUCAGUACUGUUCCUAUGCCAAGCAAUCUCCAUUGUCUUCAUCUUUUUGCUGAGGGAAUUGAGGCUCCUGUAUGUUAGGAGAGAGCUCAUUAAGAAAGGGCCAAGAUAACAAAUUUGAGAGUCAGUGAGUGGCUGUUCCAUUUUUUUUUAAAUACACAGCCUGGAUGUCACCACCCGCAGUGUCCUGUUUGCUUCCAACCCACCAGGUAGACAAUUUACAGGUCCUUUAGAAGUCUAAAGGCAGAACUGUAAAAAUGAACCAAUUACUGUAACUAUUCUCAAGCCUCUCUGUGGUCAAGCAGAAUCCCCCACUUCCUGCUUGAUUUCUUUGCAGUGUUCAUCACCUCAGGACUGAGUGGAGGUAAGUCAUUCACGAAAACACAAUUCAACAUCUGAAGUCUCCACGUAAGUGGUGCUCGAUAUGCAUUUAACAAAGAGCGUGGUGGAAGCUGGAGAAGAUGAUUGGAAAGUGACCUCAUCAAGCACAUUUGAUGGCAAACAUUUCAACACAAACACCCCUCCCCCCAAUCCAUCUCUGUGUAGAUUAGUUCCAGGAAUCCCUGAUAGAAAUCAGAAUGCUCAUGUGUUUUAUACACAACUGAGAGGCCAAUGGAGGCAGUCACCCAGAAUCUGAAAGUGUCCAGAGAAGCUGGGGAGUCUUUGAGGUCUAUAGAAAAUGCAGUACGUGAAUAUAAAGCACUAAUGUUUCAAAAAGAGCCUUGCACAGUUGAGAAACUCACUGAAGUAUUCAUUUAUAUUCUUU
RNAcentral lists this small RNA (6680 nucleotides) under Rattus norvegicus (Norway rat). Its description in RNAcentral is "uncharacterized LOC102550565". Lineage: Eukaryota; Metazoa; Chordata; Mammalia; Rodentia; Muridae. The record is from RNAcentral.